UGGGGAAUUUUGGACAAUGGGGGAAACCCUGAUCCAGCCAUCCCGCGUGUGCGAUGAAGGCCUUCGGGUUGUAAAGCACUUUUGGCAGGAAAGAAACGUCAUGGGUUAAUACCCCGUGAAACUGACGGUACCUGCAGAAUAAGCACCGGCUAACUACGUGCCAGCAGCCGCGGUAAUACGUAGGGUGCAAGCGUUAAUCGGAAUUACUGGGCGUAAAGCGUGCGCAGGCGGUUCGGAGAGAAAGAUGUGAAAUCCCAGAGCUCAACUUUGGAACUGCAUUUUUAACUACCGGGCUAGAGUGUGUCAGAGGGAGGUGGAAUUCCGCGUGUAACAGUGAAAUGCGUAGAUAUGCGGAGGAACACCGAUGGCGAAGGCAGCCUCCUGGGAUAACACUGACGCUCAUGCACGAAAGCGUGGGGAGCAAACAGGA
This 430-nucleotide ribosomal RNA is filed under the name Acidobacteriota bacterium. RNAcentral describes it as "Acidobacteria bacterium partial 16S ribosomal RNA". It matches the Rfam family "Bacterial small subunit ribosomal RNA", at positions 355 to 777 of the family's 1533-position model. The record is from RNAcentral. Lineage: Bacteria; Pseudomonadati; Acidobacteriota.